RNAcentral lists this long non-coding RNA (152 nucleotides) under Anas platyrhynchos platyrhynchos (common mallard). RNAcentral describes it as "lncRNA (ENSAPLG00000030607.1)". Lineage: Eukaryota; Metazoa; Chordata; Aves; Anseriformes; Anatidae. The record is from RNAcentral.
GAACCAAAUCCAAAGAAAUCCACCUUUAGCAGGUGCAUGUUCGACAUUGUGGGAAAGUAACCUGCCGAGUCCAGGGCAGAACUGCGCCAGAUUGAAACUCUCCCAGAUGACUCUAUUGAUGAAUAAACAAAGAAGGUCGGCCGAGGUGAUGG